RNAcentral lists this ribosomal RNA (253 nucleotides) under uncultured bacterium. RNAcentral describes it as "partial 16S ribosomal RNA". It matches the Rfam family "Bacterial small subunit ribosomal RNA", at positions 524 to 776 of the family's 1533-position model. The record is from RNAcentral.
UACGUAGGUGGCAAGCGUUGUCCGGAUUUAUUGGGUUUAAAGGGUGCGUAGGCGGCCCCCUAAGUCAGUGGUGAAAGACGGCAGCUCAACUGUCGAGGUGCCAUUGAUACUGGGGGGCUUGAGUACCGAUGGGGCAAGCGGAAUUGACGGUGUAGCGGUGAAAUGCUUAGAUAUCGUCAAGAACACCGAUAGCGAAGGCAGCUUGCUAAGGGGUAACUGACGCUGAGGCACGAAAGUGCGGGGAUCAAACAGG